RNAcentral lists this ribosomal RNA (292 nucleotides) under uncultured bacterium. RNAcentral's name for it is "partial 16S ribosomal RNA". The record is from RNAcentral.
GGACUACCGGGGUAUCUAAUCCUGUUUGCUCCCCUAGCUUUCGCAGAUCAGAGUCAGUGAUGGUCCAGAAGACUGCUUUCGCCAUAGGUAUUCCUCCCGAUAUCUACGCAUUUCACCGCUACACCGGGAAUUCCAUCUUCCUCUACCACACUCCAGCCUGGUAGUUUCCGUUGACCUCUCCCAGUUGAGCCGGGAGCUUUCACAACAGACUUACCAAACCUCCUACCUGCGCUUUACGCCUAGUGAUUCCGAGUAACGCUUGCCACCUACGUAUUACCGCGGCUGCUGGCAC